ACUGUAUUUCAAGAUCACAUAAGUUAAAAUGUGGCAGGAUUUUAUAGCUAAGACUUAAUUGCCAUAUUAACCAUCUGAUGAACUGGGCUAGUUACUGUACGGAAACCCACAAUGGACUAAUCACGUCAUAAUAACCUUGGCAUAGUCAUGGUGCCCAGUCACAAAAGACAACCUAUGCAAGAAAAACACAUACAUAAAUUCUCAAUUCAUAAAAAAAAAUAUAUAUAGGAGAGAAUGUACCUAAAGGAUACACACAAAA
Non-coding RNA from Pelobates cultripes (western spadefoot toad), 259 nucleotides. The record is from the annotation of a GenBank genome assembly. NCBI's taxonomy places the organism in Eukaryota, Metazoa, Chordata, Amphibia, Anura, Pelobatidae.